Molecule: ribosomal RNA, 497 nt
Filed under: uncultured bacterium
Lineage: Bacteria
Description: partial 16S ribosomal RNA
Rfam family: Bacterial small subunit ribosomal RNA
Source: RNAcentral
GAUGAACGCUGGCGGCGUGCUUAACACAUGCAAGUCGAACGAAGCACCUUAUUCUGAUUUCUUCGGAAUGAAAAAUUUGGUGACUGAGUGGCGGACGGGUGAGUAACGCGUGGGUAACCUGCCUCGUACAGGGGGAUAACAGUUAGAAAUGACUGCUAAUACCGCAUAAGACCACAGCACCGCAUGGUGCAGGGGUAAAAACUCCGGUGGUAUGGGAUGGACCCGCGUCUGAUUAGGUAGUUGGUGGGGUAACGGCCUACCAAGCCGACGAUCAGUAGCCGACCUGAGAGGGUGACCGGCCACAAUGGGACUGAGACACGGCCCAAUCUCCUACGGGAGGCAGCAGUGGGGAAUAUUGCACAAUGGGGGAAACCCUGAUGCAGCGACGCCGCGUGAGCGAUGAAGUAUUUCGGUAUGUAAAGCUCUAUCAGCAGGGAAGAAAAUGACGGUACCUGACUAAGAAGCACCGGCUAAAUACGUGCCAGCCGCCGCAGUAA